UUUUUCAACUCCAAAGGACUCUUUCCCAAGACUUGUGGGCUGCUCUUCUACUUGAGGAAAAGUUUUCCAAGCAAAAGUCGCGUAUCCAAUGGCUUAAGGAUGGGAUGGAAACAAUGCUUUCUUUCAUAACCAAAUCAAGAACAGGUGGAAUCAAAACAAAAUCUUAUCGAUUGAGAAUGAAUCAGGUGAUCUUUGCUUUGGCC
Molecule: long non-coding RNA, 203 nt
Filed under: Panax ginseng (ginseng)
Lineage: Eukaryota; Viridiplantae; Streptophyta; Magnoliopsida; Apiales; Araliaceae
Description: long non-coding RNA (PGIN_LNC007403)
Source: RNAcentral